GAGGCACUAGCUCAGCCGGUAGAGCAUACGCCUUUUAAGCGUAGGGUCGUGGGUUCGAAUCCCACGUGCCUCA
This 73-nucleotide transfer RNA is filed under the name Oscillospiraceae bacterium. RNAcentral describes it as "tRNA-Lys". It matches the Rfam family "tRNA". From Rfam's summary of the family: Transfer RNA (tRNA) molecules are approximately 80 nucleotides in length. Their secondary structure includes four short double-helical elements and three loops (D, anti-codon, and T loops). Lineage: Bacteria; Bacillati; Bacillota; Clostridia; Eubacteriales; Oscillospiraceae. The record is from RNAcentral.